Molecule: long non-coding RNA, 2064 nt
Organism: Eupeodes corollae
Lineage: Eukaryota; Metazoa; Arthropoda; Insecta; Diptera; Syrphidae
Exons: 2
Source: RefSeq, a predicted model, not a curated record
AUUCCAGGCAAUUUUAGUAAACUUAAAGACUGGCAAAAUAGAAGCUGAAUUCCAUGAAUUCAUAAUGUCAACUUCUAUGGCUGCGCAAUCCGGAAACCUUUACCUACGCAAUUGAGAUUUUGGAAUUUGGCUCCAAAAAGAAUAUCAAAGUAAAUGACCUUAGAAGCCAAGAUUUUGUAUUCAUGACCGACUUACGAGCUCUAUUUCAGUAAUUCUAUAAUUAUAAUAGAAUCAAUAAUUGACCAGAAGACUCAUGAUGGCAGGCGCAGGACUACUUCAAACAACAAAUCAAAAGGAAACUUCGAAGUCGAUUUGACUCUGCCGUUCAGUUGAUUCCACGACAUAGUUGUUUUUCAAAUUUGUAUGUAAUUUAGCAUAGUUAGUUUUUAAAAUUCAAUGGCAUUAAUUAAAGAUUAUAGACGUUAAAAUUUAUUUGAGUUAUUGAGUAAUUAGAACAAAUAAAAAUAAAAGUAAUUUUUUCACGAAAAACAUUUCUUUUUUGUUUUCAAAAAUUUGAUAAGCCCUGGUCAAUUAUGAAAUUAGUGGAUAACAGCUUUUCAAUUGAAUUACAAAAAAAAACUGAAUUAAGUGGUGUUUUGUUUUAUUUGCCUUAAAUUUCCUUUUUGUAUGUGGACUUUUCUUUCACCUUUCAGCAACCUACAAAAUCACUGCCGGGUGAACCUUUGACAGAGAAAUUCAAAUGGAUAAAACUUCACAAAAAUUUUGGACGAUGAUGUCGGACUACACGUCUCGCACACUCAAUCGCCCAAGUAGAAAAUGACGAAACUAGGAAAAGAAAAUUGAAAAAUUAGAAAGAAAGAAAAGAAAAAAAAGUUAGGAUGGGAAUAGGUAAAGGACAAAACAAAAAAUGCACUGACUGACCUUACUCAAGCUUUCGCAAAGGAACGUCGCGAUACACCUAGGUUCGCCUGUGGCCUUCCUGGUGCAGACAUACGCCCUUUGCAAAAACUCCAGUAAUUUCAGAAAAAACAUUACAUUCAUUAACCGCGGUCGCUGUGAAUUUUCAAACACUCGUCGCGAUACGACUAGGUACGCCUGUGGCCGUCCUGACGCAGACAUACGAGGUUUAAAAAUCCACACCAAGUUUGGUUAGGACAAUACAACAUAAAAAAACUGAAACUAGUACAACAUUAACUUAUUCGCCAAAAAAAAUGUUCCAACUGGGUUGGAACACCCUUUAAUAACGUUGGGCGCCAUUUUGUUGCGGCACCCUUUAAUUACGUUGGGCGCCAUUUUGUUGCGUGGCAAGAGGAGGUGUGGAGGUGGUUGAAGUGGAAGGGUAGAAUAAGGAUGAGGUAGGAAAAAGAGAUAGGAAGAUUUGGAAUAGGUUAGGUGGGAUUGUUGAGAUCCGGGGGACGCGGCCUGCUUGCGGUGCACGGCGUCAGCUCGUCGGACGGGGGGGGAUCUUGCCCCCGAAACUCAACCUCGCCUGCAGACAAAAACAUAUAUCAGGCCAAGGAACGAGGAAAAGGAAGGAAACAUAAACGGACAGACUAUUGGCACAUCAGGGCACUGCGGAUGUUAGUGCAGUGAGGCCAUUACCCACCCUACCUUUAGGUAUCCGUGGCCAGUUUUGGAUACCCCCAAGAUUGUGGUCGAUGAUCGGCUUCAGGUCAUCUUAGGUCCAUGUCCACUCCGCUACCCUCGACACCCCUGAAAAAAAAGACUUAGCACAACAUUGCUUCGCUGGGGCGAAACAGCAAUAACAAAAAAACUAUUUUCGUUCCUUCAGUAGGCGUUUUGGAAGUUUAUUCACAUAAUUAUUUUAAAUUACAAUUUUUGCUUACAGUCAUUAAACUUUUACACAAAUGAGAAAAAAUAGAAAUUGGUACUGAAAAGCCGCGUUUCAAUAUUCAAUUUUGAUACCCUUUGUAGUAUCUUUCAAUCAAUCAACGACGAUGCCCUAGCUCCCUACCCCUAUAGAGCUCUGUGGAGGUGUCGGCUAAGACUAAAACAAACAACCCAGUGACUGGACGCGAUUCAACCGCUCACCAAUUUUCGGUACCUCACAAGAAUAUGUUUUAAAACAAGAAACCAGAAAAA